AUUAAGAAGCUAUGAACCAGCGUUAGCCUUUUAAGCUAAAGAAAGAGGGGCCCUCCCCUCCUUAAUGA
Molecule: transfer RNA, 68 nt
Filed under: Chlorospingus canigularis (ashy-throated bush tanager)
Lineage: Eukaryota; Metazoa; Chordata; Aves; Passeriformes; Passerellidae
Description: tRNA-Lys
Source: RNAcentral